GAUGAACGCUAGCGGCAGGCCUAAUACAUGCAAGUCGAACGAGAUUGAGGAGCUUGCUCCUCAUGAAAGUGGCGCACGGGUGCGUAACGCGUAUGCAAUCUACCUUAAUCAGGGGGAUAGCCCGGAGAAAUCCGGAUUAAUACCGCAUAACGUUAUUUUAUGGCAUCAUAGAAUAACCAAACAUUUAUGGGAUUAAGAUGAGCAUGCGUGACAUUAGUUAGUUGGUGAGGUAACGGCUCACCAAGACUACGAUGUCUAGGGGAUCUGAGAGGAUGACCCCCCACACUGGUACUGAGACACGGACCAGACUCCUACGGGAGGCAGCAGUAAGGAAUAUUGGUCAAUGGGCGCAAGCCUGAACCAGCCAUGCCGCGUGCAGGAAGACGGCCCUAUGGGUUGUAAACUGCUUUUAUCGGGAAUAAACCUCUUUACGUGUAAGGAGCUGAAUGUACCGAAGGAAUAAGGAUCGGCUAACUCCGUGCCAGCACG
RNAcentral lists this ribosomal RNA (489 nucleotides) under uncultured bacterium. Its description in RNAcentral is "bacterial SSU rRNA". It matches the Rfam family "Bacterial small subunit ribosomal RNA", at positions 28 to 515 of the family's 1533-position model. The record is from RNAcentral.